CGGGACGGGUGAGUAAUGUCUGGGAAACGUGCCUGAUGGAGGGGGAUAACUACUGGAAACGGUAGCUAAUACCGCAUAACGUCGCAAGACCAAAGAGGGGGACCUUCGGGCCUCUUGCCAUCGGAUGUGCCCAGAUGGGAUUAGCUAGUAGGUGGGGUAACGGCUCACCUAGGCGACGAUCCCUAGCUGGUCUGAGAGGAUGACCAGCCACACUGGAACUGAGACACGGCCAG
This 233-nucleotide ribosomal RNA is filed under the name uncultured bacterium. RNAcentral's name for it is "partial 16S ribosomal RNA". It matches the Rfam family "Bacterial small subunit ribosomal RNA", at positions 100 to 334 of the family's 1533-position model. The record is from RNAcentral.